This 496-nucleotide ribosomal RNA is filed under the name uncultured bacterium. RNAcentral describes it as "partial 16S ribosomal RNA". It matches the Rfam family "Bacterial small subunit ribosomal RNA", at positions 28 to 507 of the family's 1533-position model. The record is from RNAcentral.
GAUGAACGCUGGCGGCGUGCCUAAUACAUGCAAGUCGAGCGAACAGACGAGGAGCUUGCUCCUCUGACGUUAGCGGCGGACGGGUGAGUAACACGUGGAUAACCUACCUAUAAGACUGGGAUAACUUCGGGAAACCGGAGCUAAUACCGGAUAAUAUAUUGAACCGCAUGGUUCAAUAGUGAAAGACGGUUUUGCUGUCACUUAUAGAUGGAUCCGCGCCGCAUUAGCUAGUUGGUAAGGUAACGGCUUACCAAGGCGACGAUGCGUAGCCGACCCGAGAGGGGGAUCGGCCACACUGGAACUGAGACACGGUCCAGACUCCACGGGAGGCAGCAGUAGGGAAUCUUCCGCAAUGGGCGAAAGCCUGACGGAGCAACGCCGCGUGAGUGAUGAAGGUCUUCGGAUCGUAAAACUCUGUUAUUAGGGAAGAACAAAUGUGUAAGUAACUAUGUACGUCUUGACGGUACCUAAUCAGAAAGCCACGGCUAACUACGUG